UACGACUACAUAUCAGGCAUAUCAAUAAGCGGAGGAAAAGAAACUAACAAGGAUUCCCUUAGUAACGGCGAGUGAAGCGGGAAGAGCUCAAAUUUGAAAUCUUCAAGGUUUUACCUUGACAAAUUGUAGUUUAAAGAAGUGUUUUCUGUUGAAGUUUCGGUAAAAGUUCUUUGGAAUAGGACAUCAUAGAGGGUGAGAAUCCCGUAUUUGACCGUUAUUUUCAGCUGUGUGAUACACUUUCAAAGAGUCGGAUUGUUUGGGAAUGCAGUCCAAAAUGGGUGGUAAAUUUCAUCUAAAGCUAAAUAUUGGCGAGAGACCGAUAGCGAACAAGUACCGUGAGGGAAAGAUGAAAAGAACUUUGAAAAGAGAGUUAAACAGUACGUGAAAUUGUCAAAAGGGAAGCGUUUGACACCAGUGUUGUUUUCUCGAAAAUCAAUUAAAAAUAAAUUUGAUUUUGUGUUGUAUUGACCUUAAAAGCUUUCUUCACUUUUUUCAUGUUUAUUUUUAAUGCACUUUUCGUUUAACAAGUCAACAUCAGUUUCUUUUGUUGUAAAAAGGUCAUUGGAAGGUGGCUUUCUUUUCGGAGAAAGUGUUUAUAGCCUUUGACUCCUGCAAUCGGAGAGACUGAGGUCUGCAGCGUAGAUCCUUCUGGAUUAGAUUCAUUUGUGCUAAGUUAUAGCUUUUCAUAGACAACUUGUUGACUAUGUUUAGUCAUUGUAGCUUACUCGCUUAUGUAAUUUUACCUACGCUUAGGAUGUUGAACGCGCACAGAGUCUC
This 777-nucleotide ribosomal RNA is filed under the name uncultured Neocallimastigales. RNAcentral's name for it is "partial large subunit ribosomal RNA". It matches the Rfam family "Eukaryotic large subunit ribosomal RNA", at positions 24 to 611 of the family's 3401-position model. The record is from RNAcentral. Lineage: Eukaryota; Fungi; Neocallimastigomycota; Neocallimastigomycetes; Neocallimastigales.